CCGCGUCCGUCCGUCGAGCCACUGCCGCGUCCGUCCGUCGAGCUCGGCCACCGUUCGUCCGUGUAGCCACUGCACCCAAGUCUCCAACUCCCCUGCUCUCUUCUUCCGCGAGCUCGCCCCAUCCCCUACUCUUUGCAUCUUCUUGCCAUCGGGUUCAUCUUCUUGCCGUCGUCUGGUCGGUGUCGUCCAUCAGUGAAGGGUCUGUCGGCGUCGUCUUCGAAGGCCCAUAACCGCCAACAAUGGCUGACCAACGUCCCAAGAGACUGCGUACCGAUGGUCAAGCUCAGGUUGAAGUUCCUAACGAAGACCAUUACUACAGGCGGCGACGCUACCCUUCUCAAGUCGAAUUGUAUGAAGGAAAAAAAAAAAACAGCAACCUUCAUCUUUGAAUUUGUCCAAUUUCGGGGUCUCGAAAGGAAACACGACAAAGUAAGGAACUGUACAUAUCACGAGGCCAGUAAAAUUCGUGACAAGACGGUUCUGGUUCUUGGAUGCGGUACAGGCAUCCUAUCUUUUUUUUGUGCUAAGGCUGGGGCAACAAAAGAAACUCAGUAGAUACUCCUCCGGGGCAUACCUAAGCAUGGCAUAUAUGGAUUUCAAAGAAUUGCUAUUACUUCAUCUACUUCUAAUGAAUCUGUCUCAGACCAGUAAGUUCAUUUUCCUAGAGAUAAUCAAGUUCUCAAUUUGUUCCUAGAAGUUUCCAUGCUAAUUGUCCCUUAUUUUCUCUUUGGCCUGAUAGAUCAGGUCAUGCUUCGUCCAAUGUAAUCAAGAAUGUCAUUUCUGAAUGUAAUCUUCCUAUUUCUAAUAAUAAUGCAACGAACAAUAAGGUUUGUGAAUACUGUUGCAUGGCAAAGAUGCAUGCCCUUCUAUUUCAAUCUGAUUCUUUUCAAUUUUAUGCACCUUUAGAGAUGAUUUAUCCUGAUGUUUGGGGUCCAGCACCUAUGUUAUCUUAUCAUGGUUUUUGAUAUUAUGUUUCUUUUGUGGAUGCAUUUAAUAGACUUACUUCAAUCUUUUUACUUCAAACAAAAUCACAAGUUUUACAGGCAUUCAUGUAAUUUAAAAAUCAAAUGGAGAACCACAUAGAUUUCAAGAUUAAGUCCCUGUUCUUUUCUAACUAUGCAUCGUAUUUUUCAUAGAUUCUCAUGCCCUCACACCUAUCAACAAAAUGGGAGGGCUAAAAGAAAACAUAGGCACAUCGUAGAGAUUGGUAUAGUCUCGUAAAAGAUGUGUUACACAAAUCUUGCAGAUUGAUGCUAAGUCAGUCCCAACACGUAUGAUUACUUGCAUAUUCAGACUAAUUUACAAAAUUUAUAUGAAUUAACAUAUAGAGAAAGAACGGUUGCCCUGCCUUAGCACAAAAAAUGGAUAGGAUGCCUGUACUGCAUCCAAGAACCAAAACCGUCUGAAAAUGCAUGCAAUUAAUAACAAAAGAUGAAAAGAACAAUAAGAAUGGAAAAAAAAAAGUUUAUAAUUAAUUACCGUGUUACGAAUUUUACUGGUAUGAUAGUAGAUGGCCUCAUGAGAUGUACGGUUCCUUACUUUGUCCUUUCGUGAGAAAGAAAAAAUAAAGAAACUUACAAUUGCAUAAUCUUGAAAAAACACCAUUUCAUAUGAUCUAUGGAAGCCUAUUUCAGUGUCAUAAACUGUCUAGUUUUCGGGUUUUACACCGAAAAGGUUUAAACAAUAUUUAUAGCUAGAUGAUGGUGUGCAAUAUCAGUCUGCCAUAAACCGCCGGUUACUAGAUCUAAUCCUCCACAAAAAGUAAGAAAAUUUGUGUAUUUUAACCAAUUCAAGGUGAAAUUGAAACAAAAAUAUUUGAUUCGCCGAUCCUAAAAAAAGAAAUAAACAAAGAGUUCUUAUGUGUUUCCAUGCCGCCUUUUGAAAAAUCAAAGUUGUAUUAACCUUGUUUUUUUUUUUCUUCGUUCAAUUUGAUUUGAGGAAGGUAGUGUUGCCGGUAGUAAUGGUCUUCGUUAGGAAAUUCAACCUGAGCUUGACCGUCGGUACGCGGUCUCAUCGGAUGUUGGUCAGCCAUUGUUGGCGGUUAUGAGCCUAAAAAUUAUCAGCAAUCUAAGUACAAUAUCACAGGUUCACAAGAACUCACGCCUUCAUUUGACAAGAAAGCAUGCAUCUUCUAUAAAGAGGGACAGAGCAAAAGAGCAUGAAGAGUGUGUCAGGGGUUAACCACUACAACACACAACUUCUUCGGAUUUUGGAUGGGGGUAGCAGUGUCACAGGCUAACAUUACGGAUGCGCAGUAACAUUAAUUUCACACUAUAUAUAUAGUUGUAAGGGGCAUGAUUCUGAGGUUCACUUGUAUUAGUAUACGUGUGAGGUUGACAUGCAAAAACUAUCAUAAACCAAACACAAAUAAACAAUGACAAAAUCAUAUCAGUGAGGGCCCAGAAGCAAUUAUGAUACAUCAAUUUUUUGCAAA
RNA transcript from Arachis duranensis, 2434 nucleotides. It is a transcript of the gene named protein arginine N-methyltransferase 1, with no coding region annotated. The transcript has 6 exons. The record is from RefSeq and is a predicted model, not a curated record. NCBI's taxonomy places the organism in Eukaryota, Viridiplantae, Streptophyta, Magnoliopsida, Fabales, Fabaceae.